This 468-nucleotide ribosomal RNA is filed under the name uncultured bacterium. RNAcentral describes it as "partial 16S ribosomal RNA". It matches the Rfam family "Bacterial small subunit ribosomal RNA", at positions 28 to 507 of the family's 1533-position model. The record is from RNAcentral.
GACGAACGCUGGCGGCGUGCUUAACACAUGCAAGUCGAACGGAAAGGCCCUGCUUUUGUGGGGUGCUCGAGUGGCGAACGGGGGAGUAACACGUGAGUAACCUGCCCUUGACUGUGGGAUAACUUCAGGAAACUGGGGCUAAUACCGGAUAGGAGCUCCUGCUGCAUGGUGGGGGUUGGAAAGAUUCGGCGGUUGGGGAUGGACUCGCGGCUUAUCAGCUGGUUGGUGGGGUAGGGGCUUACCAAGGCUUUGACGGGUAGCCGGCAUGAGAGGGUGACCGGCGACAUUGGGCCUGCGAUACGGCCCAGAAUGCUACGGGCGGCAGCGGUGGAGAAUAUUGCACAAUGGGCGGAAGUCUGAUGCAAAAACGCCGCGUGCGGGAUGCCGGCCUUCUGGUUGUAAACCGAUUUCGCCUGUGACGAAGAGUGAGUGACGGUAAUGGGUAAAGAAGCACCGGCUAACUACGUG